This 40-nucleotide unclassified non-coding RNA is filed under the name Aquifex aeolicus. Its description in RNAcentral is "putative small non-coding RNA". Lineage: Bacteria; Pseudomonadati; Aquificota; Aquificia; Aquificales; Aquificaceae. The record is from RNAcentral.
CUCCACCGAUUUUUGGCCUCCCGCCCGGGAGGCCCUUUCU